Mucidula mucida is the source of this 86-nucleotide non-coding RNA. The record is from the annotation of a GenBank genome assembly. Lineage: Eukaryota; Fungi; Basidiomycota; Agaricomycetes; Agaricales; Physalacriaceae.
UCUCUGAUAGUAUAUCGGUUAGUACACGCGCCUGUCAACAACCGGGGUGUGCGCGCGAAAGCUGGGUUCGACUCCCAGUCAGAGAG